GACGAAAGUCUCUUUUCGGGGGCAACUUCGGCAGCCGAAAGGCCUGCCUCCCCAGCCAUGUUCGGCGGCCGAAAGUGCCUUCGGCUGCCGAACCUGGUUUCUGCCAAAGGGCAGAAACUCGGUUCCUAUGUGCAUUUUCGCCUCCAAACUCACCAAUCAUGCAUAUAUCUCAACCAAAACAUGCAUACAAGUUCCUAGGGGCCUCAAAACAUCAAAUACCCCAACUACAACACUUCAAGCAUACUCAAACGUGUCACAUUGUUUAUAAAUCACAUAAAACCUAACAUUUGCUUAAAAACUCAUACAACCCUAUACAUGCCAUUCUACCCCAUAAAAUCACUUAAAACUUACUUAAAACACAUGAGGAGCUUAAGAUCGGCUCUUACCUCUUGAAGAUCGAGAGGGAGACGACCUAAACUUGGAGAUCCACGAAAAUGAGCUCCUGAGUUCCCAAAGCUCCAAAACUUGGUUUAAAAGCUCAAAACCUUCAAUGCAAGCUUAAAACUCAAGAAAAAUGGUAGAGAUUUGGAGGAAGAGCACAAGAGUUGCAAAGGGAAGGUCGGAAGCUUGCUGUGGCCGGAAAUGGGAGAAAGCUCGCCCAUUUCGGCUAAGUGCCCCAUUUAUAGGUGGCUGGCCAGGCCACGUUCGGGGGCCGAAUGUGCCUCCGCAUCCAUGAAAUGUUCGGCGGCCGAACUUGACUUUCGGCGGCCGAACCUGAACUUCCCUAACUCAUGCUUUCGGGGGCCUAACGUGCCUCCAAAACGCAUGCAUGUUCGGCGGCCGAACUUGACUUUCGGCGGCUGAACCUGGGUUUUCCUCCAAUGCUAUUUUCAUGCAAAA
Molecule: long non-coding RNA, 840 nt
Filed under: Manihot esculenta (cassava)
Lineage: Eukaryota; Viridiplantae; Streptophyta; Magnoliopsida; Malpighiales; Euphorbiaceae
Description: long non-coding RNA (MESC_LNC010950)
Source: RNAcentral